GCGGAAAGCGGCGGACGGGUGAGUAACGCGUAGGCAACCUGCCCUUCACAGAGGUAUAGCCUCGGGAAACCGGGAUUAAAACCACAUAAAAUCAUAGGUUCGCAUGAACCAAAGGUCAAAGAUUUAUCGGUGAAGGAUGGGCCUGCGUCUGAUUAGCUGGUUGGUAGGGUAAAAGCCUACCAAGGCGACGAUCAGUAGCCGACCUGAGAGGGUGAUCGGCCACAUUGGAACUGAGACACGGUCCAAACUCC
Molecule: ribosomal RNA, 251 nt
Filed under: uncultured Eubacteriales bacterium
Lineage: Bacteria; Bacillati; Bacillota; Clostridia; Eubacteriales
Description: uncultured Clostridiales bacterium partial 16S ribosomal RNA
Rfam family: Bacterial small subunit ribosomal RNA
Source: RNAcentral